AAACCCAUGAAAUUUGAUUGAAUUGUGUGAAUAAUGAAAAUGUUAUUGUUAAAACCAUAAAAUUUGAUUGAAAUUUGGGAAUGAUAAAAGUGUGAUGUUAAACCCAUGAAAUUUGAUUGAAUUGUGGGAAUGAUAAAAAUGAUGAUGUUAAACCCAUGAAAUUUGAUUGAAUUGUGGGAAUGAUGAAAAUGAUGAUGUUAAACCCAUGAAAUUUGAUUGAAUUGUGGGAAUGAUGAAAAUGUUGAUGUUAAACCCAUGAAAUUUGAUUGAAUUGUGGGAAUGAUGAAAAUGUUGAUGUUAAACCCACGAAAUUUGAUUGAAUUGAGGGAAUGAUGAAAAUGAUGAUGUUAAACCCAUGAAAUUUGAUUGAAUUGUGGGAAUAAAUGAAAAUAUUCUUGUUAAAACCAUGAAAUUUGAUUGAAUUAUGUGAAUGAUGAAAAUUUUGUUGUUAAACCUAUAAAAUUUGAUUGAAUUGUGGGAAUGAUGAAAAUGCUGACAUUAAACCCUUGAAAUCAGAUUGAAUUGUUUGAAUAAUGAAAAUGUAAUUAUUAAAACCAUAAAAUUUGACUGAGUUGUGGGAAUGAUAAAAGUGUGAUGUUAAACCCAUGAAAUUUGAUUGAAUUGUGGGAAUGAUAAAAAUGAUGAUGUUAAACCCAUGAAAUUAGAUUGAAUUGUGGGAAUGAUGAAAAUGAUGAUGUUAAACCCAUGAAAUUUUAUUGAAUUGUGGGAAUGAUGAAAAUGUUGAUGUUAAACCCACGAAAUUUGGUUGAAUUGAGGGAAUGAUGAAAAUGAUGAUGUUAAACCCAUGAAAUUUGAUUGAAUUGUGGGAAUAAAUGAAAAUAUUAUUGUUAAAACCAUGAAAUUUGAUUGAAUUAUGUGAAUGAUGAAAAUUUUGUUGUUAAACCUAUAAAAUUUGAUUGAAUUGUGGGAAUGAUGAAAAUGCUGAUGUUAAACCCAUGAAAUUUGAUUGAAUUGUGAGAAAGAUGAAAAUGUUGGUGUUAAACCCAUGAAAUUUGAUUGAAUUGUGGGAAUUAUAGAAAUGAUGAUGUUAAACCCAUGAAAUU
Molecule: long non-coding RNA, 1064 nt
Filed under: Lathyrus oleraceus (garden pea)
Lineage: Eukaryota; Viridiplantae; Streptophyta; Magnoliopsida; Fabales; Fabaceae
Description: Pisum sativum (pea) long non-coding RNA (PSAT_LNC041475)
Source: RNAcentral